This is a long non-coding RNA of Pezoporus occidentalis (night parrot), 736 nucleotides long. RefSeq lists it as uncharacterized. NCBI's taxonomy places the organism in Eukaryota, Metazoa, Chordata, Aves, Psittaciformes, Psittacidae. The record is from RefSeq and is a predicted model, not a curated record. The transcript has 2 exons.
CAUCCCAACACGACAACAGGGUGAGGAGAGGCUCACCAUCCAGCCAGGUCUUGGGUGCUCUGCACCCAUCCUGAGCACGGGCUGAGCUCACUGGCUGGCCAGCCCUGUGCUCCACUUCCUGCCUUUGCUUAUGAUCAUCAGAGUGAUUCCUUUACAGGCAACUGUGCAAAGCAGGAAAAUCUACGUGAAAUGCUUCCUACUGGAGUAACCAUCUGGCCAAUAUUCAUCUUGUUUAGUGAAAUACCAAGAUAUCCAUAGAACGCAGGUGUUAAUGCAGAUCAUAAGGCACAAGUGACCGCAGUAAUAAACCAACAUGCAAUGAAAUGCAAUUAACGCACCUGGUGCUUGGGUUUGACAAGAGUUUCAGUGCCUUUUUAUUUUCCCUGCACACUCAUGUGCAUUUUAAUAGUUGGAACUUCAAUCAUCACUUCUCAACCAACCCUUUAAUCGUAUAAAUUCCUUUAAAAAGUGAACUGCAAUGUUUGCUAGUAAACAGUAUUUCAUAAUUUAGCCAGGAGGAGGGAAAAAAGUGGAAGCACACACGAAACUAUAUGCUGCUUAGUAGCGUUCUGUGCCAUGAAAAAGACUAUUGUCCUGUUUCUGUCGGUCUGGUUCUGCUGCUGGCAAAGGUUUGCUUUCAGUCGUGUAAUCCUUGUUGAUACAUUCCUAGUGCUUUUGAACCAGCUGGAACAGGUGAAAAGAUCCCAGCGAAGAAAAUAAAUGAUUAAGCUUUCUA